RNAcentral lists this ribosomal RNA (663 nucleotides) under uncultured bacterium. RNAcentral describes it as "partial 16S ribosomal RNA". It matches the Rfam family "Bacterial small subunit ribosomal RNA", at positions 1 to 646 of the family's 1533-position model. The record is from RNAcentral.
GGCGGCCGCGGGAUUCGAUUAGAGUUUGAUCAUGGCUCAGAUUGAACGCUGGCGGCAGGCCUAACACAUGCAAGUCGAGCGGUAGAGAGAAGCUUGCUUCUCUUGAGAGCGGCGGACGGGUGAGUAAUGCCUAGGAAUCUGCCUGGUAGUGGGGGAUAACGUUCGGAAACGGACGCUAAUACCGCAUACGUCCUACGGGAGAAAGCAGGGGACCUUCGGGCCUUGCGCUAUCAGAUGAGCCUAGGUCGGAUUAGCUAGUUGGUGGGGUAAUGGCUCACCAAGGCGACGAUCCGUAACUGGUCUGAGAGGAUGAUCAGUCACACUGGAACUGAGACACGGUCCAGACUCCUACGGGAGGCAGCAGUGGGGAAUAUUGGACAAUGGGCGAAAGCCUGAUCCAGCCAUGCCGCGUGUGUGAAGAAGGUCUUCGGAUUGUAAAGCACUUUAAGUUGGGAGGAAGGGCAGUAAAUUAAUACUUUGCUGUUUUGACGUUACCGACAGAAUAAGCACCGGCUAACUCUGUGCCAGCAGCCGCGGUAAUACAGAGGGUGCAAGCGUUAAUCGGAAUUACUGGGCGUAAAGCGCGCGUAGGUGGUUCGUUAAGUUGGAUGUGAAAUCCCCGGGCUCAACCUGGGAACUGCAUUCAAAACUGACGAGCUAGAG